Molecule: non-coding RNA, 706 nt
Organism: Vigna umbellata (rice bean)
Lineage: Eukaryota; Viridiplantae; Streptophyta; Magnoliopsida; Fabales; Fabaceae
Source: RefSeq, a predicted model, not a curated record
AUUUCAGGAAGGACGAAUGAGGGGUCAAGCAUUUCUGACAUUCCCCUCUGUUGAAUUGGCUCAUCUUGCUCUGAAUCGGGUGAAUGGAUAUGUAUUAAAAGGAAAGCCAAUGAUUAUACAGUUUGGUCGGAAUCCCGCUGCUGCUAAGACUUGAUUGAGUGCAUGUAUUGAUGUAUAACAGAUGACUAAUGAUGCAUUCUUAAUUCACUCAUGGGGAGAGGACCCUGCACUAACCACUGAGACUACAACAUUCAGCAAUGACAGUGAUAUGAAUGCUAGCACGUAUAUUCUCCUUGGGCUUAUGGAUGCUAUGUGAAUCACUUCACAUUGUUGGCAAUAGGGGUUGUGAAUGCAGACCAACGUUGGCUAUAUGAAGGGUUUAUUACAUAUAUUAUUUCUCGGUUGAUUUUUAGCCUGGGAGCAACAGUAUAGGGAACUCGGAUCCAGUUGGACAAUUAUGGUUGACAAUGAUACAGCAUGGCUCUGACAACGUGGGUAUGUAUCAGGUCUAUAAAACUUUUCGUUUUGCAGCUUGCCAUUGCCAAAUGCCAAAUGCCAACAUUCCUAUACGGAGAGAUACAUACAUGUAUCGCAUUGUCUUUUUGUAAUGUCUAAGAAACAGAGAAUUGAAAUUAUCGAACUGAAUGGUUUGAUUUUUGUUUACUAAAAAAUAGUUGCAAGCAUAAUAUUUAUAGUUAUUCUACAA